AUACGUAGGGUGCGAGCGUUGUCCGGAAUUACUGGGCGUAAAGAGCUCGUAGGUGGUUUGUCGCGUCGUCUGUGAAAUUCCGGGGCUUAACUCCGGGCGUGCAGGCGAUACGGGCAUAACUUGAGUACUGUAGGGGAGACUGGAAUUCCUGGUGUAGCGGUGAAAUGCGCAGAUAUCAGGAGGAACACCGGUGGCGAAGGCGGGUCUCUGGGCAGUAACUGACGCUGAGGAGCGAAAGCAUGGUAGCGAACAGGAUUAGAUACCCUGGUAGUCCAUGCUGUAAACGGUGGGCGCUAGGUGUAGGGGUCUUCCACGACUUCUGUGCCGUAGCUAACGCAUUAAGCGCCCCGCCUGGGGAGUACGGCCGCAAGGCUAAAACUCAAAUGAAUUGACGGGG
RNAcentral lists this ribosomal RNA (397 nucleotides) under uncultured bacterium. RNAcentral's name for it is "partial 16S ribosomal RNA". It matches the Rfam family "Bacterial small subunit ribosomal RNA", at positions 523 to 918 of the family's 1533-position model. The record is from RNAcentral.